RNAcentral lists this ribosomal RNA (253 nucleotides) under uncultured bacterium. Its description in RNAcentral is "partial 16S ribosomal RNA". It matches the Rfam family "Bacterial small subunit ribosomal RNA", at positions 524 to 776 of the family's 1533-position model. The record is from RNAcentral.
UACGGAGGGAGCUAGCGUUGUUCGGAAUUACUGGGCGUAAAGCGCACGUAGGCGGCUUUGCAAGUUAGAGGUGAAAGCCUGGGGCUCAACUCCAGAACUGCCUUUAAAACUGCAUCGCUUGAAUCCAGGAGAGGUGAGUGGAAUUCCGAGUGUAGAGGUGAAAUUCGUAGAUAUUCGGAAGAACACCAGUGGCGAAGGCGGCUCACUGGACUGGUAUUGACGCUGAGGCGCGAAAGCGUGGGGAGCAAACAGG